This 33-nucleotide transfer RNA is filed under the name Eigenmannia sp. 3 CBM-2010. RNAcentral's name for it is "partial tRNA-Lys". The record is from RNAcentral. Lineage: Eukaryota; Metazoa; Chordata; Actinopteri; Gymnotiformes; Sternopygidae.
UAAAGAUUGGUGGCUCCCAACCACCCCUAGUGA